GCCUUCCUAGCUCAGUGGUAGAGCGCGUCACUAGUAAUGACGAGGUCGUCAGUAAGUUAUAUCCAAACAUAGAUUGCGUACAAGACUCGUUGCUGACGAUGCCGUGAAGGUUCAAUUCUGGCGGAAGGCA
This is a non-coding RNA of Alternaria viburni, 130 nucleotides long. The record is from the annotation of a RefSeq genome assembly. NCBI's taxonomy places the organism in Eukaryota, Fungi, Ascomycota, Dothideomycetes, Pleosporales, Pleosporaceae.